RNAcentral lists this ribosomal RNA (3189 nucleotides) under Triticum aestivum (bread wheat). RNAcentral describes it as "partial small subunit ribosomal RNA". The record is from RNAcentral. Lineage: Eukaryota; Viridiplantae; Streptophyta; Magnoliopsida; Poales; Poaceae.
AUGCAGCCGCUCAGCUCAUCAAGCCGUAGCAGCAGCAGCAGAUACACCACCAAAUCGUCCCUGCCGUUCGUUGGCCUUGUCGCUGCCCUCCUGUUCUCCUUCGCCUCCCCGACCAGCUCCUGCACGGAGCAGGAGAGGGGCGCCCUCCUCGGCUUCCUGGGCGGGCUUGUGCCGGGUGGCAGCGGCAGUCUCAACGUGUCGUGGGUGAACGGCACGGACUGCUGCCAAUGGGAUGGCGUCCUCUGCAGCGGCGACGGCACGGUCACCGAUGUCUCGUUGGCUUCCAGAGGUCUCAGAGGGGGCGUCUCGCCAAACCUCGGUGAUCUUCCUGGCCUGCUGCGCCUGAACCUGUCCCAUAAUUCGCUUGAAGGCGGUCUACCGACGGAAUUGGUGUUCUCCAGAAGCAUUAUUGUCCUCGACGUCAGCUUCAACCGCCUGGAUGGUCGUCUGCAGGAGCUGCGAUCCUCAGAUACCGGCCUUCCUCUCCAGGUGCUGAAUAUCUCAAGCAAUUUGUUUACAGGACAGUUUCCAUCCGUGACAUGGGAGGCCAUGAAGAAUCUGGUUGCUCUUAAUGCGAGCAACAACACCUUCACAGGACAAAUACCAUCUUCUAUCUGCACCAACGCCCCCUUAUUUGAUAUGCUUGACCUUUGUUUCAACCAACUCAGUGGCAACAUUCCCCCAGGGCUUGGCAGUUGCUCCAUGCUGAAAGUGCUCAAGGUUGGACACAACAGCCUCAGUGGAGCUCUCCCGCCGGAACUCUUCAAUGCUACCUCACUGGAGCAGCUCUCCUUACCCAACAAUUUCUUGCAAGGAGUUAUUGAUGGCUCCCACAUAGCAAAACUAAGCAAUCUGUCUGUCCUUAAUCUUGGAUCGACUGGCAUCAGUGGCAAGAUUCCGGAUUCUGUCGGCCAGUUAACAAGAUUGGAGCAACUCUACUUGGACAACAACAAGAUGUCUGGUGAGCUGCCACCGGCCCUAGGUAACUGCUCAAAUCUCAGAUACAUUACCGUCAGAAACAACAGUUUUACGGGGGAACUUAGCAAAGUCAACUUCACCAUGUUGGAUCUGAGGACAGCUGAUUUUUCAUUGAACAACUUCACUGGUACAAUUCCUGAAAGUAUCUACUCAUGCACCAACCUAGUUGCGUUACGGCUGGCUUUCAAUCAAUUUCAAGGCCAGUUCUCACCAAGCAUUGGAAAUCUCAGGUCCCUCUCUUUCUUUUCAAUUACUGGCAACUCUUUUACAAAUAUCACAAGUGCACUUCAGAUGCUCAAGAGAUGCAAGAACCUCACCUCCCUGCUUAUUGGAACCAACUUCAAGGGUGAAACCAUACCACAGGAUGAAAGAAUUGAUGGUUUUGAGAAGCUUCAGGUACUCACCAUAGAUGAUUGCCCAUUGGUUGGCCAAAUCCCGCUCUGGAUAUCAAAGCUUGAAAAAUUGGAGAUGCUAGACCUAUCAUUGAAUCAACUCACUGGACCGAUACCAUCCUGGAUUGAUGGGCUGGGCUUCCUGUUCUUUCUAGAUAUAUCAAGCAACAAACUUACAGGGAAUAUACCAGCUGCACUGACAAAGAUGCCGAUGUUACUAUCAGCGAAAAAUGCUGCUAAGUUGGACCCAAAGUUCCUUGAGUUGCCUGUAUUUUGGACACCAUUACGUCAGUACCGGAUGGUCAGUGCUUUUCCCAACAAAUUGUGUCUGGACAACAAUAAUUUCACUGGUGUAAUUCCCCCUGAGAUUGGUCAACUAAAAAUGCUUGACAUUCUUAAUUUAAGCUCCAACAGCUUAACUGGUGAAAUACCACAAGAAAUCUGCAACCUCACAAACCUGCAAACGCUCGACUUGUCAAACAACCAGCUCACAGGUGCAAUACCAUCUGCCCUGAAUGGUCUGCAUUUCCUUUCCAAAUUUGAUGUUUCUAACAACAAGCUAGAAGGGGAAGUUCCAAGUGGAGGACAGUUUGAUUCUUUUUCAAAUUCUAGCUACAGUGGGAAUCCAAAGUUAUGUGGCCCUAUGAUCAACAACGGCUGCAACUCAAGACCAUCUUCAGCGUCCCCGAGACGUUGGAACAAGAAGAACAUUACUGCUGUUGGAUUAGGUGUGUUCUUUGGAGGGCUUGCCAUUCUGUUCUUGCUGGGACGUCUGCUUAUGGCCCUCAGAAGAACAAACUCUGUCCACCAAAACAAGGGUAGCAGCAAUGGCGACAUAGAGGUAAGUUCAUUCACCUCUGCGUCAGAUAACUUGUGCAAUGUAAUGAAAGGAAGCAUUUUGGUGAUGGUACCUCAAGGCAAGGGAGAAUCAGGCAAAAUCACCUUCCAUGAUAUCUUAAAGGCCACAAACAACUUCGACCAGCAGAACAUCAUCGGAUGUGGAGGUAAUGGUCUAGUUUACAAGGCAGAGCUGCCGAAUGGACCCAAGCUUGCCAUCAAGAAGCUCAACGGCGAAAUGUGCCUGAUGGAAAGAGAAUUCACUGCAGAGGUUGACGCACUCACCGUGGCGAAACAUGACAAUCUCGUGCCUCUAUGGGGUUACUACAUCCAGGGAAACUCAAGGCUCCUCAUAUAUUCUUACAUGGAGAAUGGCAGCCUGGAUGAUUGGCUUCACAACAGGGACAAUGGCAACACAUUGCUUGACUGGCCAACAAGGCUAGAGAUUGCACAAGGAGCAAGCCGGGGCCUUUCCUACAUCCACAAUAUCUGCAAGCCACACAUUGUACAUCGUGAUAUCAAGUCCAGCAACAUCCUUCUUGACAGAGAUUUCAAAGCUUAUGUUGCAGAUUUCGGGCUUGCCAGAUUGAUCCGUCCCUAUGACACACACGUCACAACUGAACUGGUCGGCACUCUGGGUUAUAUUCCUCCCGAGUAUGGGCACGCAUGGGUGGCCACACUGAGGGGAGACAUAUACAGUUUUGGAGUGGUGUUGCUUGAGCUGCUCACAGGGAAAAGGCCCGUCGAGGUCCUGUCCAAGUCGAAGGAACUUGUCCAGUGGGUACGGGAGAUGACGUCCCAGGGAAAGCAUACUGAAGUCUUGGAUCCAGCGCUGAGAGAACAAGGGCAUGAAGAGCAAAUGCUGAAGGUGCUUGAAAUUGCUUGCAAGUGUAUAAACCAUAAUCCUUGCCAGAGGCCAAGCAUCCAAGAGGUAGUAUCCUGCCUGGAAAAUGCAGAUGUGAACCUGCAGGUGGAAAUGUAG